Molecule: non-coding RNA, 46 nt
Organism: Schistosoma mansoni
Lineage: Eukaryota; Metazoa; Platyhelminthes; Trematoda; Strigeidida; Schistosomatidae
Source: Rfam
AUUCAGCUGAUGAGUCCUAAGAUGGGACGAAAUGCACGUUCUGGAU